CGGGUGAGUAACACGUGGGUGAUCUGCCCUGCACUUCGGGAUAAGCUUGGGAAACUGGGUCUAAUACCGGAUAGGAGCCAUCUUUAGUGUGGUGGUUGGAAAGUUUUUCGGUGUAGGAUGAGCUCGCGGCCUAUCAGCUUGUUGGUGGGGUAAUGGCCUACCAAGGCGGCGACGGGUAGCCGGCCUGAGAGGGUGUACGGCCACAUUGGGACUGAGAUACGGCCCAG
Molecule: ribosomal RNA, 227 nt
Filed under: uncultured Actinomycetales bacterium
Lineage: Bacteria; Bacillati; Actinomycetota; Actinomycetes; Actinomycetales
Description: partial 16S ribosomal RNA
Rfam family: Bacterial small subunit ribosomal RNA
Source: RNAcentral